GUGUCUUUAUCGCUUAAUUUCAAGUUUGAAAGCGGGGGAACCAUUCUGUUAUCCAUUGAUAGCAUGGGGUGAAUCCUAAAGGUUUUAGGUAGGGCUACUCUCUAGCCCGAAUCCGUCAGCUAACCUCGUAAGCGUAUGGAGAGAGGCGCC
RNAcentral lists this small RNA (150 nucleotides) under Fictibacillus macauensis. RNAcentral's name for it is "c-di-AMP sequence". It matches the Rfam family "c-di-AMP riboswitch aptamer (ydaO/yuaA leader)". From Rfam's summary of the family: This family represents a conserved RNA structure found upstream of the ydaO and yuaA genes in Bacillus subtilis and related genes in other bacteria. The record is from RNAcentral. Lineage: Bacteria; Bacillati; Bacillota; Bacilli; Caryophanales; Fictibacillaceae. RNAcentral also lists the same sequence under 1 other name.